This is a non-coding RNA of Pogona vitticeps (central bearded dragon), 698 nucleotides long. The record is from the annotation of a RefSeq genome assembly. NCBI's taxonomy places the organism in Eukaryota, Metazoa, Chordata, Lepidosauria, Squamata, Agamidae.
GAAACAUCAUCCCACAGCACAUCAACUCCCAUUGUGAUCCUGCCCAUCCCUCUACUAUGUUGUCUGUGUCGCUGAUGCUCGUUUUCCUGGCUGCCAAUUUUCCAGGUGUCGUCUCACAGGUGGUGCUGACCCAGUCAGGUCCGGUCUCGAAAAAACCUGGAGAAUCUCACAAGCUGACCUGUGCCACCAGUGGGUUUACUCUCAGCAGCUACGGGAUGAGCUGGGUUAGACAGAAACCUGGAAAAGGACUGGAAUGGCUUGUAUACUAUUACAACACUGCAUCUGGGAACAGUCAUUACACUCCUGCAAUCCAAGGCCGAUUCACAGCCUCUAAGGACAGCUCCAACUUCUAUCUGCAGAUGAACAACCUGAAAGAGGAAGACACAGCCGUCUAUUACUGUGCAAGGGACACAGUGGUGCUGACUCAAGAAGGUCCAGUCUUGAAAAAACCCGGAGAAUCUCACAAGCUGACCUGCGCCACCAGAGGGUUUGAUCUUAGCAGCUACGGGAUGAACUGGGUUAGACAAAAAACUGGCAAAGGACUGGAAUGGACUGCAUACUAUCUCAACACUUGGAAUACUUAUUCUGCAAUCCAAGGCCGAUUCACGGCCUCUAAGGACAACUCCAACUUCUAUCUGCAAAUGAACGACCUGAAAGAAGAAGACACGCCGUCUAUUACUGUACAAGAAACACAGUGA